Pseudonaja textilis is the source of this 513-nucleotide non-coding RNA. Lineage: Eukaryota; Metazoa; Chordata; Lepidosauria; Squamata; Elapidae. The record is from RefSeq and is a predicted model, not a curated record.
AUGGGUAUGCCAAGUCAACUUUGUCCUACAGAAAUAUACACGCACCAUAUGAUUGUCUCAUCGACAUUAUCUUACUACAAGAAAAAAAUCUAGUUGCAAUUAGAAAACAUACAUUGAAGCUAAAACCUUCUUAGAGCUAAACCUUCUGCUUGUUUAUCCAGAAUUGAGUCUGAAUUCAAUAGGGAUUUACUCCUAGGUAAACUUGACAAAAGGACAAGAUCCAUUUUUAUUACAGCCUCAUCCAAACUGGACUGUCAGUAUAAACAAACAAGACAAGAAUUACAGCGCAAAGGCAUAGAGGAUGCAAUUCUAAAUGCUAAUAAAUCAUGUUUAUAGCUUAUCUCUAUGGAGAUUCACAGUCAUCCAGGUCUUGGUUGUCCCAAAGGUGUUUUUUCAAGAGCCAAUUGAACUUUCUGGUCUUUCUUGGAAGAAGUUUAGCUUCUUAUCCAAGAAGCUUCUUGGAUGAAAAGCGAAACUUCUUCAAAGAAAAAUCACAACGUCCAGUUGCCUCUU